GAGGAGACUCCGGAAGCCUCCGCUCUCCAGAAAGUGCAGUGCGUGGAUGGUAGCGCCACCUGCGGACAGCGCUCUGACUGACGCGCGAACGGACCAAUGAGAGACGAGAUGCUGGGGCGUCAAACCAAUCAGCGCAGUAUAUGCAGCGAGGGCGGGGUUUGCAACGGAGCGCUCUUAUUGCAUCAGUUCCUGUAGA
Long non-coding RNA from Sinocyclocheilus grahami, 196 nucleotides. RefSeq lists it as uncharacterized. The record is from RefSeq and is a predicted model, not a curated record. The transcript is spliced from 2 exons. Lineage: Eukaryota; Metazoa; Chordata; Actinopteri; Cypriniformes; Cyprinidae.